AUGAAACAGCAAAGUUUGUACAACUUCAAACUGGAAUGUGAUAGCAUAUUUCAUGAUCCAUGUGGGAUUCAAUGAAUUAAGAACUACUUCAGUGCGGAAAACUUCAGUAGGUGGUCCAUCUUUUGCUUUUGUAUAAACAACCACCAUAGGAUCACUCUUAGAUAGCACAUCCCGGUCGCGCAACUUUGUAGCCGAAAAUGAUAGCUCGAUCUGAAAAAAGAUGCCGUGGAAACCACGAGACUUGAAAUAGUAAUCGAUGGCAUCAUUCGCAGCAGCAGCAGCGCCGCCACCGGCUGCACUGGAGGUGCCACCGACAGCCGCCUUUCCACCGGCCUCAUCGGAGAAGCAAUUCCCCAUCCCACCUCCUCCAAAAACAACUAAGCAGCAGAGCUCCAAAAAAAUAUGUGUAAUU
This 412-nucleotide unclassified non-coding RNA is filed under the name Hevea brasiliensis (rubber tree). The record is from RNAcentral. Lineage: Eukaryota; Viridiplantae; Streptophyta; Magnoliopsida; Malpighiales; Euphorbiaceae.